GGGGGCGACCUUGGUUUCGACGGGGGUUGCGAAGCAGAUGCGGGCAUACCGGGGUCUCAGAUUUCCCGUAAAACACUGAAUCUAAAUAGUCGCAAACGACGAAACUUUCGCACUGGCCGCUUAAGGCCUGCCGUUGCAGCAGUUGGUCAAUGGGCUGUGUAGCGUAAGCUACUGCAACGUCAUUCUACAUUGACUGGUUUCCCGUCGGGUUACUUGGCAGGAAAUGAGAUUUAAGGUAACUGGUUCCUAGAAGGCCUGUCGGUCGGCAUGAUAGGAACGA
RNAcentral lists this transfer-messenger RNA (280 nucleotides) under Eikenella corrodens. RNAcentral's name for it is "partial transfer-messenger RNA". It matches the Rfam family "transfer-messenger RNA", at positions 1 to 292 of the family's 374-position model. Rfam says of the family: Bacterial tmRNA, also known as 10Sa RNA or SsrA, is named for its dual tRNA and mRNA-like properties. Its role is to liberate the mRNA from a stalled ribosome. Lineage: Bacteria; Pseudomonadati; Pseudomonadota; Betaproteobacteria; Neisseriales; Neisseriaceae. The record is from RNAcentral.